Suricata suricatta (meerkat) is the source of this 1774-nucleotide long non-coding RNA. RefSeq lists it as uncharacterized. The transcript has 3 exons. Lineage: Eukaryota; Metazoa; Chordata; Mammalia; Carnivora; Herpestidae. The record is from RefSeq and is a predicted model, not a curated record.
CAGUCCACACGUGGGGAAUUUCCCCCAGUGUAUGCAUCCACACUUCCCAAUAAGGAAACCAGCCUCCCGGCGAAGAGCUCAGCACAUGACCAGGCUCCACCAAUAAAGACGAGCCACACUAACCUUGGAAUUAGCAGCCAGAAGUAGGCAUGGACUCGAUUCUGAAAGGACAGAACCUAGCUGCUGCUAAUGCCACAUUUCCACAGCUUGCCUGAGGGCCCAACACAGAGGAAGCCUUCAGAGAGAGGUGACAAGAGACAGAUUUCUAAUGACAGGCUUUGAGCACCAGGAUCCAGCAGGACCUGAACUGAUAGAUCUAUGCCUCUGGGCCUUUCCAUCACUUGAAACCAUGUCUGUCUUGCUUACGCCAACUCGAGUUGGGGAGGUAUACAAGAAAGAGAUAUCCAAAAUAAAUCAAUGAGAUUAAUACGACACAGCGUUCUGGAAGUUUCAUACUUGAGAUCUGAAAUGAAGGAGACUUCCCCACAGGUCCCUUCAGAGACUCUCCAGAGACUCUCCUGAGAAUUCUAAGCAUUUCCCCCCAAGAACAUCCAAAGAACUUCGCCCAGAGAUUCCCACCCUGGAUGAUCUCCCGAGAUGCCCUGCUUCAAGUGCCCCAUAGCCUGUCCAGGCUCCUACUGACCGGUGACUUGGCCCAGGCUGGCACACUUGUACUUCCUGCAGUCCGUCCAGAUGCCCAGGUAGCCAGUGUAAGAGCCCUGCAAGUACGCCAGCCGUCCGUCCGCCAUACCGAGCAUCAUCAGGGUUGCCAGGACGCUGAAGGCCAGAGACCAGCCCCGCAGGACGAACUUGCGGUCCCCUUCCCAGGAAGGCACCGCGUCCACUGGGAAAGAAUAGAGUUCUGUGCCACACUGCUGCAGCCUAGCCUCCAUCUCCAACCACAGCCACGUCUCCAUCCCCACCUAGACCCCGAUCCCAACCGCAUCCCCGUCUCCAAUUCCAAAUGCAUCCUCGUUCCCAUCUCUAACCCUAACGUCCAGCCCAGCCCCCUCCCACGACCCCAUUCGAUGCCCAAACCUACUUGUUUUGUCUCCAACCCCAUCCUCCAGUCCCUGUUCCCCAACCCCAGCUCCAUCUCCACCCUCAACCUCAACUGCUUCUCUAGACCCCUGUCACAAAUCCCAAUCCAGGACACGGACAACUAGACGUGGGUUCCACAGCAUGCUCAUGAGGCCAAGACCCAUGGUGCCAACAGAACGAAAUGCCAGGGGUUUGCCCAGUGUUCACCAAGCCCCCUGUCCCUCCCACUGCUCACUUAACCUCCAGCCACACCGGACUUCACCGUGUUCCUCUCGCACCGAGAGCUUUCCUACCUCAGCAAUUCAACAAGCAGUCCAGGCUGCCCCUUCCGCCUGGGGACCUCUCCUUCCACAUGUGCCCAGACUGUCCUAACCAUCCUUUACAUCUCACCUCCCAUGCCACUCCCCCCACAUCUCCCAUCCUGAGCCCCCCAGCCCAGCCCAACCUCAGUUCUUGGCAAGGUCACCCACCAAACACUCCCAUAAUGCAACAUGCAAGUCUCCUUCACUGGUAUCCCUUAUCUCACAAACUGCUUUUUUCCCUACCCACCUUCCCCAACAGACCCCCGUGAGGGGAGGGAAUAGAUCUCUUCCUUUUCCCACUUCACCCUCAUCACUUGGUACGGGGCCUUUGCUAGUUGUUAAGUUAAAAAAGGGAACAACUGAGGGGCACCUGGGUGGCUCAGUUGGUUAAGUGUCCCACUCUUCAUUUCAGCUCAGGUCAUGAUCACCAU